AUUGAACGCUGGCGGCAGGCCUAACACAUGCAAGUCGAACGGCAGCACGGGUGCUUGCACCUGGUGGCGAGUGGCGAACGGGUGAGUAAUAUAUAGGAACAUGCCCAGUAAUGGGGGAUAACGACGAGAAAUCGUUGCUAAUAACGCAUACGACCUGAGGGGGAAAGCGGGGGAUAUUCGGACAUCGCGUUACUGGAGUGGCCGAUAUCUGAUUAGCUAGUUGGUGAGGGAAAGGCUCACCAAGGCGACGAUCAGUAGCUGGUCUGAGAGGAUGAUCAGCCACACUGGAACUGAGACACGGUCCAGACUCCUACGGGAGGCAGCAGUGGGGAAUUUUGGACAAUGGGCGAAAGCCUGAUCCAGCCAUUCCGCGUGAGUGAAGAAGGCCUUCGGGUUGUAAAGCUCUUUCGGCAGGAAAGAAAUCGUUACUCUUAAUACGAGUGAUGGAUGACGGUACCUGAAGAAGAAGCACCGGCUAACUACGUGCCAGCCGCCGCAGUAAUAC
RNAcentral lists this ribosomal RNA (505 nucleotides) under uncultured bacterium. RNAcentral describes it as "bacterial SSU rRNA". It matches the Rfam family "Bacterial small subunit ribosomal RNA", at positions 30 to 526 of the family's 1533-position model. The record is from RNAcentral.